GUAAGUCAGUUGUGAAAGUUUGCGGCUCAACCGUAAAAUUGCAGUUGAUACUGUCAGUCUUGAGUACAGUAGAGGUGGGCGGAAUUCGUGGUGUAGCGGUGAAAUGCUUAGAUAUCACGAAGAACUCCGAUUGCGAAGGCAGCUCACUGGACUGCAACUGACACUGAUGCUCGAAAGUGUGGGUAUCAAACAGGAUUAGAUACCCUGGUAGUCCACACAGUAAACGAUGAAUACUCGCUGUUUGCGAUAUACAGUAAGCGGCCAAGCGAAAGCAUUAAGUAUUCCACCUGGGGAGUACGCCGGCAACGGUGAAACUCAAAGGAAUUGACGGGGGCCCGCACAAGCGGAGGAACAUGUGGUUUAAUUCGAUGAUACGCGAGGAACCUUACCCGGGCUUAAAUUGCAGUGGAAUGAUGUGGAAACAUGUCAGUGAGCAAUCACCGCUGUGAAGGUGCUGCAUGGUUGUCGUCAGCUCGUGCCGUGAGGUGUCGGCUUAAGUGCCAUAACGAGCGCAACCCUUAUCUUCAGUUACUAACAGGUCAUGCUGAGGACUCUGGAGAGACUGCCGUCGUAAGAUGUGAGGAAGGUGGGGAUGACGUCAAAUCAGCACGGCCCUUACGUCCGGGGCUACACACGUGUUACAAUGGGGGGUACAGAAGGCAGCUAGCGGGUGACCGUAUGCUAAUCCCAAAAUCCUCUCUCAGUUCGGAUCGAAGUCUGCAACCCGACUUCGUGAAGCUGGAUUCGCUAGUAAUCGCGCAUCAGCCACGGCGCGGUGAAUACGUUCCCGGGCCUUGUACACACCGCCCGUCAAGCCAUGGGAGCCGGGGGUACCUGAAGUACGUAACCGCAAGGAUCGUCCUAGGGUAAAACUGGUGACUGGGGCUAAGUCGUAACAAGGUAACCA
Molecule: ribosomal RNA, 907 nt
Filed under: uncultured bacterium
Lineage: Bacteria
Description: bacterial SSU rRNA
Rfam family: Bacterial small subunit ribosomal RNA
Source: RNAcentral